Molecule: long non-coding RNA, 426 nt
Filed under: Bemisia tabaci
Lineage: Eukaryota; Metazoa; Arthropoda; Insecta; Hemiptera; Aleyrodidae
Description: lncRNA ENSSSA1NGG011897
Source: RNAcentral
AUGGCCUGUGAUGUGCUUAAAAGUCUUGUGUUCUGUGUUUUUAUCUCAUGCUUCUCGUCCCUUUUUCAGCCAGCAUUUUGUGAUGAGUAUACUAGGCUGUUUUUCGAAAACGAUGAUGUCUGUUCAUAUGCUUUCAAACCGAAAAAUAUUUUAAUUGGCCACAAGGAUAAACCUGCUCUCAUUCUCUCGGAAAAGAGCUAUUUUGAUAGUUGGCCUGGAACUCAUCCUUUUAACUGCAAUUUCCAUGUUUUCGUUCACAAUCAAGGCUUAUUUGCAGUCAUACAGAAUAUGUAUCUUCGUCGGAAUGCAACAACAAAAGAAUGCAUCGAUUACAUCCAGUUUAAGCAAAGUAAGCAGCAAUUUCCAAUCAUCUUCAAUUUGAAAGGGAGCAACACAACUGGGGGCCCAAGUACUGUGGUCGGAUAA